GACGAACGCUGGCGGCGUGCUUAACACAUGCAAGUCGAACGGAAAGGCCCUGCUUUUGUGGGGUGCUCGAGUGGCGAACGGGUGAGUAACACGUGAGUAACCUGCCCUUGACUUUGGGAUAACUUCAGGAAACUGGGGCUAAUACCGGAUAGGAGCUCCUGCUGCAUGGUGGGGGUUGGAAAGUUUCGGCGGUUGGGGAUGGACUCGCGGCUUAUCAGCUUGUUGGUGGGGUAGUGGCUUACCAAGGCUUUGACGGGUAGCCGGCCUGAGAGGGUGACCGGCCACAUUGGGACUGAUAUACGGCCCAGACCCCGGCGGGAGGCAGCGGUGGGGAAUAUGGCACAAGGGGCGGAACCCGGAUGCAGCAACGCCGGGGGCGGGAGGCGGGCUUUGGGUUUGUAAACCGCUUUCGCCGGGGAGGAGGCGGGAGUGACGGUAAUGGGAAAAGAAGCACGGGCUAACUACGUG
RNAcentral lists this ribosomal RNA (468 nucleotides) under uncultured bacterium. Its description in RNAcentral is "partial 16S ribosomal RNA". It matches the Rfam family "Bacterial small subunit ribosomal RNA", at positions 28 to 507 of the family's 1533-position model. The record is from RNAcentral.